Molecule: long non-coding RNA, 2567 nt
Organism: Ictalurus furcatus (blue catfish)
Lineage: Eukaryota; Metazoa; Chordata; Actinopteri; Siluriformes; Ictaluridae
Exons: 3
Source: RefSeq, a predicted model, not a curated record
GACUCGAUGUGGCCCCGCAGGUCGAAGUCGUCCUUCCUCACAGGCAGGUAACGGGUCAGCGGACGAGACUAUGAAGAGAUGGGGGUCAAGGGUCAAAGAAGAGAAGAGCAUAUAGAAGCGUGGAGAAGAGCAUAUAGAAGCUUCACCUCCCUCUCGAUGAGUUUCUGUCGUCGACUCGUUUCCUCCUGCAGUCGUUUCUCCAGAUCUUCCCUCCUCCUGCGCUCCUCCUCCAGAGCCUGACGCCGCACCUCCAUCUCUCGCUCCUGAACACAUUUAGCUUCAUCAGCGCCGCUGUAACUACAGGGAGAACAUCUGGUUUCCGAGGUUUGGACUUUUAACCUUCAACAUGCUCACAGUUAAAGAGGAACUCAUUCUACAGACAGAUUUGAGGCUCUGAGACAGAGCGGACGGAUUGGUGGGUGGUGAUGGAUUUGGAGAAUUCAGAAAACGGUGCUCACCCUGUGCUCCAGGAGUCGGUGUUUCUCAGCCUGAGCCUCCCUCAGCAGCCGCUCCAUCUCCUCGAUCUUGGCCACGUUGGAGGUGCUGGCGCUGCACACAACAAAUGAAAAACAUCCGUGAGUUUCUGCACGGUUCCUGCAAACUUCUCACCCUACAUCUCUACACGAGACACUACGCGGAAGACGCAGGGCAACGAUUCCCUCCAAAAAAAAUAAACGUCCUCAAAAUAAACCCAUUGUUUUGAAGAGCGCAGGAGGAAUCAAUAAAGCCGGGUCUGUGCUGGAAUGCAUUAGGAGCCCAGACCCAGAUUCCGAUGCUUUCCACUUUAAAAGCUCAAAUAUAACACGUGGAACCCAUCGAAGUAGUCCCGUCUCCCCCAAAAUCCCCCCUUCAAAUAUUUUCCCUCCAAAACUCUUACUCUAUCCUCCAAGCCUCAAGUCCAAACCUCAACUUUGUCUCAAACUCGACUGGAUGAAGAAGUUUCUUCUCUGAAGGAGCCUAUAAAAAUCCCUACAACAGAAUGUUUCCCUUCUAGGAAUGAUAUAACCGCUUCACAAACCUAGAACCCUUACAUUCAAUGAACCCUUGAGGAACCUCUCUUGUAAGAGCAUACACAGUUCCUGUACAGGUUCCUUGUGUGACUGAGAAGAGGAACCGUAAGCAUUAACAGAAGCAAACUAUCCAAUAAUGGUGCUGGAGGUGGAGAUUAAAUAUGUGGAGGUAUCUAGAACCUAUAAGGGUCUUCGGUUUAUUGGUUUGCAUGUACAGUAUAACUCUUCCGACAGGGGUUUCGUGAGCACAGGAUCUUGUACCUGUUUACUGUGCUGAUUAAUUUAAAGAUCCUGGGUCCUUAAAACGGUCUCUGGUUCCUAAAAAAGUUCCUGGGUUUCUCAAAAGGUUCCCUAAUUGAUGUUGCUGGGAGGUUCCUUUUAGCACUCCAAAGCUACAAAAGCAUUGCUUAGAUUACAGAUGUAGAAGGUUCCAUCUAGCACACCAAGGGUUCUUGGGUUUGUACCUCUAGGGAUGAAGGUUCUGUGUUAAAUAUUAAAACAAAAGUACCAAAUAGAACUCCUUCAAAAAGAAAAAAAUAGAAAUUCCUGAUGAUUGGCUGGAUCAUGAAUUCCAUAAGUGGGAUAUUUCUUCUCAGGUGUGAAUCGGGUCUGAGGUCAGCUUCUUAGACACACCAUACAGUUCUGAUCUCUCAGCUGUGAGAGCGUGGAACCUGAAAACACCCCUAAUUACAGGAGUACACAAUCCGGUUCUAUAAUCACAGCUGCACGGCUAUAAUCAGAGCCGCUGCUAGUUACUAACACGGACGUCCACACAAACACAAACCGGCUCAAUCCGCAUGCGGACAUGACGGCAGCUCGCAAAAAACGCCACGGUUCCACGUACUGACACGUCUGACACGCGUCUCCAUCUACUUGUCCAUCCCCCCUCGUUCCACAACAAACAAACGCUAACAUCUGCAGUAAACUGUAACAAACUCAUCUCUCAGCGCCAUCAUCAUCAUCAUCAUCAUCACGAAGCGUUUCCUUACCGACGUUCCUGAAUCAGAACUAAAUCCAUAUCCACGUUAGAUCCUGGAGAAAACUCUGCAGCACACAAAGAAGUGCUGCACAUACGACCAGCGCGAGACUCUGCUCUUCAUUACAUUCAAACUGAGGGGGGGGGAAAUUCCCGAAAUCUGUUUCCUCUGACUGUUCCCGGUGUAAUCCGAGCCCCGCUGGUCCCGGGGUUGAGUUGAGUGAUGGAGGAGGUGAAGAGCAGCGCGGCUCUCUCGAGUCCAGCACACGCUUUACAUUAAUCCAGCUCCAGGCCUCACACACAUGAACACACACGGCACUCUGCUGCUCUGACGGAUGAGCUCAUAACGACGUGUGGCGUGUUUCCUUUUUAAAUCAAUCCAAACCUCUAUCCGCUGGGGAAGACGGAGGAGAAACAACAAAGCGUGCAUCCUAAAAGAUUCUUCAGUUUGUUUCUUAUGUAAAGAAUGACAUUAGAGGAACUUUAUUUGUGCGGUGGAACCAACAAUCUCUUUGACUAUAAUAACGAAAGCGUGCUGGAAAAGCGAGUGGGACCGUGGCUGCGAGCGUCUGACCUGGAGA